CUGUCAUCCUGAAAGCCACGGGAGGCCGGGCUUGUAAGAAACCAGCCUGGCACUGCUGGCCCUCAGGAGCACAAAAAGGUUUGCCCCAACUGAGAGUGGAAAUACAAAACCGCCAGGAAGAUCUGACAACAGAAAUGCUCAUGUAAACGUGGUCAGUGCCCACAGCUCAGAAAUGGCCGAAGGAAAAUGGAAAGUCAGUCACCAGAUCCUGCGGCCAGGUUGACUUUAGAUCACAGCAGCAAAGUGGUCAAUGGAAAAAACAGUGUCUGUGGGCACACCAUGCGUCAACACGGGAAGGCUGUGUGCAGAACGAGCCGAGGAUGGUCCUAGUGACCGAAGCUAUUUGUGACUUAAAAACGUACUUGGGUCUGCAAAACUCAAAUACAGUAGUGUCUGGUUUUUCAAUUGCAUUAUAAACUGAGAAACAAAAAACAAAAGCCUCUUGCAUUUGCUCACACGUAUGGUAUGCUUCAAAUUCCUUCCACAAGCAAGUCUUGAAUGGAAUGAAAACAGCCCCUUCAAGAACUGGAAAAGAAGUUACUAGAAAUGACCCCGUUGGUUCUCCUAAGAAUAGAAUAAAAGAAAGAUCUACCCUUGGUUGUUCAGGCGAGGGAUCUGUGCUAUCCUACGCUGCUGCAAGAAGGUACACUCGCCAAUCUGGUCUCCUCUAAGCUGCUCGCCUCUUCCUUGAGCCAGAGAUGAGGGGCUGCUCCCGGGGCUGCGUUCCAGCUCAGCUUGGAGAAAUCGUUCAGGAAACAGUUCUUCAGGCAGCUUGAGUUGCAACUUCUUCAGAAAGAAGAGGAGAGAGGAAGAGUACGUGGGGUGUGUGUGUGCGUGUCUGCGUGUCUGUGUGUCCGUGUGCAUGAGAGAGAAGAUGCCAGCUGUCCCACGAGUGUCUGACAAGCUUUCCGUAUGAUAGCUACUAAAGCCGCGUGGAAUCCUCACUACAAUCCACGUGGAGGAUAAAUACGUCACCCACUGUAAUACUACUAUGUUGAAGCAAUGAAAGAAAACAAAACAAAUCCAAACUUGUAGACAGUUUUUGGAGACGCUCUGUUCAGCUGAUGCCUGCUUCCCACAAUCAUGCCAGCACAAGCCAAAAAGUCUUCCUUCCUGAUGGCAGUUCUUGGCUUUCCAACCAGAGGAAAAAUAUUCACGAACUGCUGUGUUUUCUUUUUUUUGUGUGUUUUUUGUUUUUUUUUUUUUACUUAAGGCAUUGUUCCUCAAACUUCAAAAAUCCAGCUGCACCAUAUCCAUCAAUUAAAAAAAAAGGCACAAACUCAUCUUCAGAUGGCUUUGGAGACAAUAAAGCCGACUCCAUCUGGGCUACCAUUUCCUUUUUUGUGUUUCCCCCCUCUCUUUCCCUUUCCUUUAGAUGUAAGACUAGUCCUCUUUCCCUGUCCCUCCCCAUUAAAAAUACACCAUCUCACAUUGUUCUGAUUUCAACAAGAAUGUCGUUGACUCACAGGCAGGCAAGAGCCAUUUGAAAAAUCCAAGAAAUGAAACUACAAGAUGGGUCAAGUGGUUCAAGCGGAGAUUGCUGAAUUGUGGGUAAUCAAAUUGUAAGCACCAGUUUCACGUUAAGGUUUGUUUUAUUUUCACGUGUUGUUGAAUCUUUGACUUUUUGGCAACUCUGCCAAAGACUUCACGGGCAUCGUUCCCCUUUCCACUCCCGGUGAGGACCAGAGGAAGAGUGCCCAGCGUUGUCAAUCCUUUACUGCUCUUCACCAGCAUUUUUCACUUUCAGCAAAUAUAUACUGUAGACGCAUAUAGAUAUGGAGAGAUUUUUCGGUUGCUUUGCUUUACACCUGGUUGUCCUUCUGUAUUCUGGAAAAAACCAUGACAGGACGCAGGAGUAACAAGAGAAAGCUUCUUGGCAGAGCUUCAAGACGAAGACGAACAAACAGGAGAACUCCAGCUCGAAGAUGAAUGCUACAGGGGAGGUUCCUCUUCCAUGGGUUCAUCAUCAGGUCUGAGCAAUUUCACAGCCAGGCAGGGAGGGAAGAGGGAGGAGAGAAAAGAUAGUUGAGCAUGAGAGCUGGAUACUUAGUGGCGCUAAAUCUCACACCUUAUGUUCCUAUCACCUUCCCUCCAGGAAAAUUUUGCUCAGCUGGCUCACUUAGAAUUAAAACUUGCCUCCAAAAAGGGGUUUCUCAGACAACGUGUUUUCACUUGUGCAACUUCAAAAUUUUUGCAGCAAAAUCCAUUUCCUCUCAUGGUCCAAAAACACCUUCUGCUCUGACUGGAGCAGAGGGAUCAGGCAACGUGUGCACAACGCUAAGGUAACAUCCGGGGCUCAUGUAAGUGAACUUCUCUUGCAGCCCAGAGGAUGCAUGAAAGGAAGGAGAUGGGUGAAUGUGCAAUGGGUAGAAGGCGAGGAUUAAUCCAGUAGGCUGCUCCCAAGGCCACCCGUGAUGACAAAAGCAACUCACCGCUUCUCAGCUGGCUUCACGCCUACCGACAGAGAUGCCAUGGCUGUCACUGUCUCAGCCUCUUCAUUCUCACACUUCUGUGCCUCAACCAGGGAGUAGCCCACUGUGGAGGCGUAGCGCUGGAGUGAAUGCCAAUACUUGCCUGGGGAGAGGUGAGAAAAACAGCAGUUAGGGCACCUGCAUCAGGAUGGGUCAAGUAAUGUGUUCAGAGGAUCACAGAAUGCUUGGGUUGGGAGUGACCUUAAAGAUCAUCCAGUUCCAACCUCCUGCCAUGGGCAGGGCUGCCACCCACUAGGUCAGGCUGCUUAGAGCUCCAUCCAACCAGCCUUCCUAUGCCCAGUAGAAGUAGGUAGCUGAGAACUGACUGGGGAGGACACAUCAUGCUUAUGCAAAACACAGUCUUAUGCCAUGCUUGCUGUCACUUCCAGGCCUUCCUUGAGGCCCCUUGAUGUGGAGGGAACUUCUGGGGGUGCAAGCCAAGGGAAACCCCUUGGAGCCUUCCAGGCUCAGGGAAUUAGUGAGAUGGGCUCCUCUCCCCUGCUCACAGCUCUCUGUCACGAGCUCUGAUAUAGCAGAUCAUCGCUGACCCUUAUGGUCAAGUAGGUUGCUGUGAGAGAAGCUGCUCUGUCCUCUAUGCAGAAAAAUCCAAUGUACUUUCUACACAAUAUCAAAAGUGACAUCCAAGGACUGCCAAAGCUCCUUCUUCUUGACACAUAUUAAUAAAUGGUGCUGCAAUUCUGCUGUGUCUUGAAGACCGACAUUUUGAAUAAAUGUUUGUCUUGUUAUGUAAGCAUACAAUUAGCAGGACAUAUUUCAGCAGAAAUAUGCAGUGGGACAACCACGGUAUCCCCUGCUUAUAAGGGGUAAAACCUUUGUUCAGAAAAAAGAACUAAAAAUGGAGGAGGGAGGCUAAAGUAACAGAUUUCCAGCUGGAAUCACACAGGAAGAAUGGAGAUGUAACAGCUCUCCUGGGCUGAGAGAUGUUUUGCAGGGGAAAACAUGCUUUAGUAAAGCAUCCACAAAAAUGAACCAGCUCUCUCCCCCAAAGACAACUAGGAUGUCAAAUCAGGGCUGAAUCACUGGCAUGCAAUGAAAGACACUCUUCUUCUUUGGCUAUGGAAGAAAGGUGACCUGAUGGUCUUACUUAAAACCCCUUUUCUGAUUUGUUUUGCUCGGUUUAAUGGAAAAAAAAAAAAGUCACUACUUGACUCAAGGUGUCACAUUGCUGCUGAGCAUUCAAGUCAGCAGAGUGGCUGCUGGAAAUGGAAUUGAGAUUUCUAAAGUUACUCGGCAUUUCUGAGCGGGGAAAAUCAUUUGGCCUUUUUUAAGCUCUACUCUAGUUCUAUAAAGAGGAGACUAGCCUCCCUCUAGUUUUAUACCACAAGUGUUUGAAGUGGGAAGAUGUCAAGACCUAGCACAGCGGGAUUCCCAUGUUAUUCAGACUCUUUUCACUCUAUUCCUCAAGAACGUCCCCAGGAAAUCUUCAACCACAAUGAUUUUAAUCUCAACUAAAUAAACCCACAAUAUUAGCAGCUUCAUGCAACGUUCUUUCAUCCCUAUCCAUUCUUCACUAAUGAAUGUAACGAUACAUGAUGAGACUCAUGUUAGUCAGAGAUACUUGAAUUGCUUCUGAAGACAUAAGCACCCACGCUGAAGUGUAGGACAGUCUGUCCUCUCCAGUGAUUUUAAAGGUUUUACUACACUGGCUUUAAUACUAAUUCCCCCAGUGAGACCAGAACAACCUGCUCAAUGACCGGGAUGCCUCCCAGCUUGCUUCACCUUUCCGAACACAGACUUCUGCACUUAACAGCUUCGCCUUGUGCCAGCCAAGCAGCAGGCUCGGCAGACAAGAGCACUGAUACAGUCCUCCCUCAAGAGCCAAACCACCUCCCUGAAUUAACUCUUCCCUGUGCAUCACUCGAUACAUCACUGUGUGCACAGUAAGACCAGUUGGUGGCUGCCUAAAUCCAAUUCACAAUGCAGUGACAACCCACAAAGUAGGGUGAGAGUAUGCAGCGGCCUGAGGUUGAACACGGAGCUGCCAGGACAGUGAAGAAUUGGGAUGGGUACUCUCACAGAGCAGUCCAAGAGGGAACCAGCUGGGUAAACAGGCUAUACUCACUGUGUAUCUCAAUCACUUUCUCCAUUGAAUGCACCGCAUUAGCAUUUGCUCUCUGCUGGAGAACCUUUUCUGGAAGAGGGUCAAGCUGGAGAGAGAGAGGAAGAAUGAAGAAACGUUAUCUCAAGCUAGAGAACAGGCAUUAAGCAUGAUUUAGCAAACAGCUCUGCCACAUCAAGCCUCCACCCUAUUCCCCUGAUUCCUAUUAUCUGCCUUCAGUUAAAUAUCCAAAAUAGACAAGACUUCCUAAGUGCUCUUGCGAUAUUCCAUACAGCCUCCCCCAUCCCAACACUCCUCCACAAGCACAAAAUGCUGCAGCCAUGGAUGGAGACUGUUUGCAGAGAGCAGAAAAAUAAGGCAAGUGGUGCUGCCUGUUUUCACACCAUGUCUUUAUAAGACUAAUACUUCAGACUGCCUUUUGCUAAGUUUUCACUAUUAAUAAUGUGAAAGGAAAAUAAAAGCAACUGAAAAAUACAACAAUGACCACACUUCUUUCUUUCCUCUGAAGAAAUACAAGGGGAAGCUUUUAAAUUCCUCUAAAUAACUGAUUCCGUGCAUUUAAUGACUCAAAGAAACAGCUGGUUUUCUCACUUGGGUUGCUUACUCUCACUUUAAGAGGACGGUCUUCUGAAAAGCUGAACUGUCCUUUCUGCCCUUCAUGAAGUUAUUAAACCUUCUGUUGUUGGUAUGAUGCCUGCCUCAAUUCCCAUUGGCCAAGAACCAACAAAAAAAGCCCAAACAACACAACUGUUACUAGACAUUUUUUUUCUCUAAAUUGCUGAAGAAUAUCCUAAGAUACAUCCAUGUGGUUCCUGCCAUCCUUUGCAAAGAGCAGCAGCAUUUUAACACUGUACAGGCAUGGCUCCAACAGCAGGCAGGAGCUGGGGCUUCCUCCCUCCGCAGGAAAGAAGCCAGAUCUGCAGUCCGGAUAUAUCAAUUUAUAUUAUAAAGAAGAGAAUAUAAAUAAUUGAAAACUUUAAAAAGGAUCUUCCAAGGGAAGGAGACUGGGUGAUGUUGUGUAGAGCACCAAAUUUCACUGGCACAGCAGAGAUGUCUGCUUGGUAGGUGAGGAUGUCCAGCAGGGCAGCUCUACUUGGCUCACAUAUGUGGCUGAUGGCUGGAGCUCAAGACAUCGCACAACUCAGUACUCAAGACAAAAAUUUCAGCUGAGUCGAUUCUCUCCAGACCCUUUUCUUUUCUUCCCCUUCUUUUUUUUUUUUCUCCCCUGGUUCUCCACAAAGAACACACAUUCAUCACAAAGCUGGGUAUCCAAAACAAGAAACGCUGCUGUUGACUGUGUCUGAAAAUAUGCAUCAGUGCUCAUCCCAGGAUCCUCUUCAACAAAGAAG
This 5900-nucleotide long non-coding RNA is filed under the name Gallus gallus (chicken). Lineage: Eukaryota; Metazoa; Chordata; Aves; Galliformes; Phasianidae. The record is from RNAcentral.